Molecule: ribosomal RNA, 275 nt
Filed under: uncultured bacterium
Lineage: Bacteria
Description: partial 16S ribosomal RNA
Rfam family: Bacterial small subunit ribosomal RNA
Source: RNAcentral
CCUACGGGUGGCAGCAGUAGGGAAUAUUGGGCAAUGGGCGCAAGCCUGACCCAGCCAUGCCGCGUGCCGGAUGAAGGCGCUCAGCGUUGUAAACGGCUUUUAACUGGGAAGAAUGACAGGGGUGCGCCCUUGUUUGCCGGUACCAGCGGAAUAAGCACCGGCUAACUCCGUGCCAGCAGCCGCGGUAAUACGGAGGGUGCAAGCGUUGUCCGGAUUUAUUGGGUUUAAAGGGUGCGUAGGUGGCCUGUUAAGUCUGGUUUGAAAGUCGGCGGCUC